Molecule: ribosomal RNA, 450 nt
Filed under: uncultured bacterium
Lineage: Bacteria
Description: partial 16S ribosomal RNA
Rfam family: Bacterial small subunit ribosomal RNA
Source: RNAcentral
AGCGAACGCUGGCGGCAGGCUUAACACAUGUAAGUCGAGCGGGCACUUCGGUGUCAGCGGCGGACGGGUGAGUAACGCGUGGGAACGUGCCCUCUGGUUCGGAAUAACUCAGGGAAACUUGAGCUAAUACCGGAUACGCCCUUUUUGGGGAAAGGCUUGCUGCCGGAGGAUCGGCCCGCGUCUGAUUAGCUAGUUGGUGGGGUAACGGCCUACCAAGGCGACGAUCAGUAGCUGGUCUGAGAGGAUGAUCAGCCACACUGGGACUGAGACACGGCCCAGACUCCUACGGGAGGCAGCAGUGGGGAAUAUUGGACAAUGGGGGCAACCCUGAUCCAGCCAUGCCGCGUGAGUGAUGAAGGCCUUAGGGUUGUAAAGCUCUUUUAUCCGGGACGAUAAUGACGGUACCGGAGGAAUAAGCCCCGGCUAACUUCGUGCCAGCAGCCGCAGUAA